AGAAAGUUGAGCGUUUUUAAAAAACAAUAGUAUGUUCAAUUGCUCUAUAAUAAUAAAAGAAAUGAAACAACAGUAAGAUUGUCCAUAGAAAAACUUUUUACACAAUUAGUCGCAUCGCCAUUUUUAUAAUGAUUAAAAACUAUUAUAUUUGACUAUCGGGUUUUGAUUUCGGUACAAAGAAUGCCUAUAAACAAGCUUCUCGCAAAAUUAAUAAAGUAAGGAACCAAAUACCUUUGCAUUCGAGCAUUCAUUUUUUAAUAAUGGUUAAACUUGAGCUCAUUAGAUAAACAAGGUCAAUUAAAAAAGAUUGAGUCUCCAGCCAACUUUCAGAACGCGAUAACCCAUAACCCAUUCUAGAAGCACAUGUUGGUAUUUGGUUUUUUCGCUUGUUAAUUUUGAAUGACAAUGGAGAAGUCAUGUACUCCAUUUCUGGAUAAAUUUUCUGCAGGCUCUAAAGGUUGAUUAACAGUAGCCAAUCCAAAAUGUUGCUAAUUUGGUUCAAUUUUGAAUUGCAAAUCGGUGGUGCCAACAUGCCUUAAAAAGUUCCAUUUAAAUUUAAACUUUGAAAAAAUGAAUAAAGAAAACAAAAAACCAUACAUGCUUUGACCCAUAUCUCUAGUGCUUCUUAAUACUCUAUGUGAAAGCUCCCUUGAUAAUUGUCGAUCUCAAUUAGAUGGUGCGAUAAAUUCACCAGACUACAAACUCAAAAUUUGAUUGCAGAAUACCUACUGUACAUUAGAUAUAUUUUUUGAACGAAGCCUUUAAUCCUAUCCCUUCAUACCAUAAACAAAAAAACAAAGCCCAAUAUAACAUGCCAGGGAUUCAAUAUUACCAAUGAUGCCUCUAGUGAAUGAGAAUGAAAUUUCAGAUCCAUAUACUGUGCACAAAAGAUUCAACAAAUACACUUUGAAUGUAACUAAUAUUGUAGCCACCAUACCGGGUUGCGAAAUUUUCAAUGUGGAAUAGGCCAUACCGAAGACAAAAUCUCUGUAUAUAUUUACGAUUUUUCAAUUGUAUUUCUUGCUUUUAAUCUUGCUUUAUUAUUUAUUAUUUGAAGUGUGAAAGGACAAGAUGUAAAUAUAUUAACAAUUGCAUAUUCGCCUCUUAUAGAAUUAUGACGGAAAUUACCUACUUGCCGAACGAAUGUGAAAAUAAAUAAAAGUUCUUUAGCAUCUUUGGAAAAAAGAGAUUAAUUUCGUUUAGUUAAAGCAUUACCAUAUAAACGGCUUUGUACGAUGUGCAUGAGCAAAGUCCAUAGAUAUCAAACAAAUGAGAGUUAACCCGUUCAAAAUAAAUAGUAUCUUUUCAACAAGAUUCC
Schizosaccharomyces pombe (fission yeast) is the source of this 1318-nucleotide non-coding RNA. The record is from the annotation of a GenBank genome assembly. NCBI's taxonomy places the organism in Eukaryota, Fungi, Ascomycota, Schizosaccharomycetes, Schizosaccharomycetales, Schizosaccharomycetaceae.